ACGACCGCAUCACGUUGAAACAUCGAUUCCCGUACAAUCACCGAAGUUAAGCAACGUCGAGUCUGGUCAGUACCUAGAUGGGUGACUGCUUGGGAAUGCUAGGUGCCGCAAG
RNAcentral lists this ribosomal RNA (112 nucleotides) under Acanthosepion pharaonis. The record is from RNAcentral. Lineage: Eukaryota; Metazoa; Mollusca; Cephalopoda; Sepiida; Sepiidae.